Molecule: RNA transcript, 9464 nt
Organism: Lagenorhynchus albirostris (white-beaked dolphin)
Lineage: Eukaryota; Metazoa; Chordata; Mammalia; Artiodactyla; Delphinidae
Gene: BAHCC1
Gene name: BAH domain and coiled-coil containing 1
Exons: 28
Source: RefSeq, a predicted model, not a curated record
AUGGAUGGCCGCGACUUCGCACCGCCGCCGCAUCUGCUGUCGGACCGCGGGAGCCUGGGCCACCGCAGCGCCGCCGCUGCCGCGCGCCUCGCCCCGGCCGGGCCGGCUGCGCAGCCCCCGGCGCACUUCCAGCCCGGAAAGUACUUCCCGUCGCCGCUGCCCAUGGCUUCGCACACAGCCAGCAGCCGCCUGAUGGGGAACUCUCCGGCCUCCUCUUUCAUGGGCAGUUUCCUCACCAGCAGUCUGGGCUCAGCGGCCUCCGCGCAUCCCAGUGGCCCCAACCCCUCCCCCUCGGAUCAGGCCUACCGUGGCCCCCACCCCGCCACCUCCCAGAUCUGGUUCUCCCACUCGCACGAAGCUCCAGGGUACCCCAGAUUUUCAGGGAGUCUGGCAUCUACCUUCCUACCCAUGAGCCACUUGGAUCACCAUGGAAACAGCAAUGUUCUCUAUGGGCAACAUCGUUUCUAUGGAACCCAAAAAGAUAACUUCUACCUGCGCAACCUGCCGCCCCAGCCCACGCUCCUGCCCGCCAACCACAACUUCCCCAGCGUGGCCCGGGCCGCCCCCGGCCACCCCAUCGGCUCCUGCAGCCGCGACCGGGGCGAGGCCGGCCACCUGCAGAAGGGCGCCAAGGAGUUCGACCGCUUCCUCAUGGGCAAAGAGAAAGCCGGCAAGGCGGCCGAGGGCAAGGAGCGGCCGGCGGUGGAGGAGGACGUCGUCAGGGGGCGGCACAAGCUGGUGCUGCCCGUACCGGGGGACUCGCACUGCAAGGAGGGUGGCAUGGCCCGGGGUGCCUGCGAGGGCCGCCCCAAACACCUGGCCUCCUGCCUUCUCAACACCAAGGUGCUCGACGGCGAGCUGGGCAGGUCCGCGCUGGCCAGCUGCGCGGGGGGUGUGCUGGGGCGGCCGGGUGUGGGCGUGCCGGCCUCCGGACGCUGCACCAAGGAGGCAGCCGGCCCCGUGGAGCCUGGGCCAGCCUUCGGCGAGUGCCUGGAGCGGAGGCAGCUGCUGCACCAUGCCGUGCCCUACACGGUGCCGUCUGGCCUGCCCGCCGGGCCGCCCCCACCCCUCAGCACGGCCGCCGGCUCCUUCCCCUGCCUGCAGCUGCAUGGGGGCCCGGAUGGGCUCUGCCCCCUGCAGGACAAAGUCCCCCGGGACCCGAAGGCCAGCGGGCCCACCUUCGUGCCUUCCGUGGGACACCUGGCCGACAAGAGCCGCCCGUUCCAGGUGGCCGAGGCCUGUGCCGUGGCGGGUGAGGGCAAGGACCGGCACCUGGAUGGGGCUGCAGUGCCUGACCAUGCUGCGCUUUAUGGGGUCUCCUAUGCCCACCUGAAGGCCGAGGGCAAGGGCGAGCGGCGGCCCGGGAGCUUCGAGGCGGCCCUCAACCCCCGGCUGAAGGGCCUGGAGUACCUGGACAGCGCAGGCCCCGAGGCCCCCUUCCCGGGGCUCCCCAAAGCAGGUCUGGACAAAAGCGGCUACUUUGAGUUACCCGCCCCCUCACAGGACUGCGCCCGGCCAAGUCACCAGGACCCGUUGGGCGGGAAAGUCACCCAGGCCUGCUGCACUUUAGACAAGACUGCCAGCAAGGAGACCCCUGUGGGUGCCCCCGGGGCCCAGAAGGUGGCUCGUAUCCGGCAUCAGCAGCAGUCGGUGGCCCCCGAGGUAGAGCCGGGGGGCAGCGGGGCUGAGGCCAAGCGCAAGUCUCUGGAGCUGGCGUCUCUGGGCUACGGCGGGCCGCCCCCGCACCCCUGGAGUGUCCAGUCGGGCCAGGGGGCCACCGUGGCCAUCAGCGAGGAGUGCAAGGCUGGCGCCUACCUGGACCCCUUUGGCGGCACCCUGCAGCAGGCCGCCCUCCUGCCUCAGGACCUGCCCGCCCCGCCUGACGAGGUCUCGGCCAUGAAGAACCUGCUCAAGUACAGCAACCAAGCACUGGUCGUCGGCCAGAAGGUGCCCUUCGUGGGCCUGGGGGGCCUGAAGGCCAGCUGUGCCCAGCAGGACGGGAAGUUCCCCGCCUCCAAGGGCACGGGCCAGGCUCCCGGCGACAUGGAAAGGCCCGACUGUGCCCGAAGCCGAGAGCACGACGCCCCGCAUGGCGAUGGGGAGGUGCGGCAGCCGCCUGUGGGCAUUGCGGUGGCCUUGGCCCGGCAGAAGGACACGGUGAGCCGGGCGGAGUCAGCCUACAGUGCCAACACAGGGCGGCAGGGCCGGGCAGCCCCCGCCUUCAAAGCUGGCGGUGGGCCCCGCUCCGCCCACGCUCUGGACCUGGAGGCCGAGGAGGAAAGGGUGCGUCUGUGCGAGGACCGCUUGGGGCUCGCCGGCCGUGAGCUGCUGCUGCAGGACAACAAGGACCUCGUGGAGUUCGCCCGGAUCCACCCGUCAAGCGGCUGCCCUGGAGACCUGGCCCCCCAUCUCAUGAUCGCCGGGGGCUCCUCCCUGCAGAGCAGCCAGCUGGGCGGGGACACAGCCCCCCAUCCCCACCCUGCCCACCCCCCCUGGCUGCCCCGCACCCGCAGCCCCUCCCUGUGGAUGGGGGGACAUUCCUACGGCCUCGGGCACCCUGCCCUGCACCAGAACCUGCCCCCCGGCUUCCCUGCGUCCGUGCCUGGCUCCAUGCCCCCCGUCUUCCCCCUCUCCCAGGAUGCCCCCACACAGCUCGUCAUCCUGCCUCCUGAGCCCACACCCCACGCCGCCCCCCAUGCACUUGCUGAUGUCAUGGACCAGGCUUCACUGUGGCCCCCCAUGUACGGGGGCCGGGGCCCUGCCUCCCACAUGCAGCACCCAGGCCAGCUCCCUGUCUACUCGCGGUCCCAGUUCCUACGGCAGCAGGAGCUCUACGCCCUGCAGCAGCAGCAGCAGCGGGCCGCUCAGGCUCUGGAGCAGCAGCGGGCCACCCAGUUCCAGCAGAAGCCUGAGGACCGCCACCUGGAGCUGGAGGAGCCCGCCCAGGAGAAGGCCUUGAAGUCCACCCACAAGCCAGUUGCCUUAACCCCCACGGCCAAGGGCACCCCCUCACCCGCCACCGCAGGCCCUGCCAAGCUGUCACCCUGCUGCCACUCUCCCGCCCCGAAGCCCCCCGCCGCCAGCUGCCCUACACCACCGCUGCAUCCUGGCGCCCCGUGCACUUUAUCCGUCUGCCCCACCGGCAGCCCCGGGCCAGGCUCCAAGCUGCCCAGCGCCGAGGAGAAGAGUGGGGAGGGCCAGCGGCCCGGAGCCGACUUCAACACGUUGGAACCAGACCUGCCUCCAGGAUACAUGUGCCCUGCGGCGGGCUCGGGCUUCUCCCUGCCCCGCAUUGUGCACUCAUCUGACCUCUCGGACCCCGAAACUAUGCAAACCGCCCCGCCGGGGGCCCAGCCUGAGCUGGCCAGGACGUUCCCACCCGGGGAGCUGGGCCCACACAGCCCCCAGAACCUGGAGGAGCCUGGGCUGCCCUCAGGGGCCAGGGAGGCCACCCAGGACCUUGCCGCACACCCCAACCCUGCCAAGCGGGGACCCCCGGGGAAGGCAGCAGACCCCAGCCCACUGGAGGGGCUGCGAGAACUGCGGUGUGGGGCCCUCCUCGAGGGAGGGGGACCUGAGGCCACUGGCCAGGCUGAUUCUACUCAGGGAGGGGCCCAAGAGGAGAGGACCACAGAGGAGGGACGGGAGGAGGGAGAGCAGGGGCCCUCAUUGGGGGCCAGCCCCCAGGCCACAGAGCAGCCGGCAAGGAGCCUGGGUGCCCCGGAUCAGGCCACGCCAGGCGAGCAGCAGGCCCCUGCAGAAGCAGAGGCGGAGGAGGCGGCCAAGUUCAAGGAGGCCGAGCUGGAGGAGGAGGAGGAGGAGGACUGGGGGCUGACUCCCGAAAACAGCCAGCCGCCCAGGGAGCUGCCGGGUCUGGACGCCCUGGUGGCAGCCACCAUCAACCUGGGGGAUCUGCCCGCUGUCAGCCCACUGGACCCUCAGCCCCGCACUGUCCCUGGGCCACCCAGCACAGCUCCCCUGCCCCGUAGCUCAGGGAUUCAUGGCAUUGCCCUGCUCAGCGAGCUGGCCGACCUGGAAAUCCAGCAGCAGAGGACUGAGCCAGACCUACAAGAGGAGGAGGAUGUGCUAGCCUUCAACCUGCAGCGCCUGGCCACGCUGGCCUCAGCCUGGUCCCUGGUAGAGGCUGCUGGCCUGGACAGCCCCGCCUCCUUGGCCCAGCCCUCCGCUGCCGACUCCUGCAGGGCUCCCACGCUCACCCCCCGUAUGCAGAUCCUGCAGCGCAAGGACACCUGGACCCCCAAGACCAAGCCUGUAUGCCCACUGAAGGCUGCCAUCGACCGGCUGGACACACAGGAGGUAGAGAUGCGCGUGCAGCUGGCGGAGUUGCAGAGGCGCUACAAGGAGAAGCAGCGGGAGCUGGCCCGGCUGCAGCGCAGGCAUGACCAUGAGAGAGACGAGAGCUCACGGAGCCCUGCCAGGCGAGGCCCCGGCCGGCCACGGAAGCGCAAAUACUCCAGCUUGCUGCCUGCCCUGCGACCCAGCGAAGGCAAGAAAGUCAAGGCAGUGCGGUCCAGCCUGAGCCUGCUGUGCACCGAGCUGCGGGGCGGCGAUGAUGAGCCCUCAAAGAAGCGAGGCCGGCUGGAGAAGGGCACCUACGUGGGCCUGCAACCCACAUCUGCGGAGAAGGUUCGGUGCAAGAAGAGCAGCGGUCAGGGCGACCUGGCAUCUGCAGUGGCCCACAAGGUGGCCCAGCUGAAGCCGAAGGUCAAGAGCAAGGGGCUGCCCACCAGCCUCAGCCCCUUCCGGCGGAAGGAGGCCACCCCAGGGGGUCGCAUCCGGAAGAAGCUGUCACGAGCCAAGAGCGCCAAGGUGUCUGGGGCAGCCCGGCACCCACAGCCAGAUGGUGGUGUUGCUGGCAGGGAGACACCUAAGUUCCCAGCCCAGCCGGCAGCGGCCACAACACAUGAGGCAGGCAACGGCUCGGACAGUGAAAACUGCGAGGGUCUGUUGGAAACAGAGGCACCUCCCAAGGACCCCGGGCUGGCACUGCACGCUGGGGCCCGCGUGGCCGUGCUGGGGCCCUCGCCCUCCUCCGUGGUCAAGAUGGAGGCCAACCAGAAGGCCAAGAAGAAGAAGGAGAGGCAGGGCUUGCUAGGGGCCUGCCGCCUGUCCAGCCCCGAGAGUGAGGUCAAGGUCAAGAGGAGGACGGUGAAGGCCAAGGUGGGCGGCAAGCUGGAGCGGGCCCCGGGGCGCAGGCCCCCAGGUGGGCCUGGCAAGAAGAAAGCCAAGGGCAAGGCCAAGGGCAGCCUGCGGGCAGAGCCGGGGGCCACACCCGGCAGGGAAGCCCUCUGCAGCCCCACCCGGGCCUUCACCUGCCACGAGGAGGGCAGCAGGCUGGCCAGUGAGCGCCUCAAGAGAGCCACGCGCAAGAGCACGGUGCUCCAGCCAGGGCUGCGGCGGAAGAACGGGGCCCUGUCCAUCGCCCUGUCGCCCCGCAACGCCAAGGCCAUCCUGGGGAGGGGCAGGAAAGCGGGCAAGGUGAAAACCAAGGCUGCCGGCAAACAGGGCAAGGGCCGGGCGGUGAGCCGGCUGCUGGAGAGCUUCGCAGUGGAGGACGACUUUGAGUUUGAAGACAGCAGCAGCCUCUCAGAGGAGGAGGAGGCCAGGGGCCCCCUGAGCGCCGAGCAGAGCGCCGCCUUGGCACGCUCAUGCACCAUCCACAAGGAGGACCUACAGGACGGGCUGCCCGUGCUCAUCCCCAAAGAGGACAGUCUGCUAUACGCGGGCAGUGUCAGGACCCUGCAGCCCCCCGACAUCUACAGCAUCGUCAUCGAGGGUGAGAGAGGCAACCGGCAGAGGAUCUACUCACUGGAGCAGCUGCUGCAGGAGGCGGUUCUUGAUGUCCGGCCACAGUCCAGCAGGUACCUCCCGCCCGGCACGAGGGUCUGUGCCUACUGGAGCCAGAAGUCCCGCUGCCUGUACCCAGGCAGCGUAGUGCGAGGCGCCUCCAGUGAUGAGGAAGACGACCUGGACUCCGUGGUGGUGGAGUUUGACGAUGGGGACACCGGCCACAUUGCUGUCUCCAACAUCAGGCUGCUGCCUCCGGACUUCAAGAUCCAGUGCACAGAGCCCUCGCCAGCCCUGCUGGUGUCCAGCGGCUGCCGAAGGACCAAGAAAUCUUCCUGCGAGGCGCCCCCACCUGGUGAGGCCGCCGCUCCCAGCCUGUCUCCCAAGGCACACGAUGGCCCUGAAGCCUCAAAGACCCCCGGGAAGAAAUCCGCAGGCAAAGACAAAGCUGGCAAAGCGGAGCUCCUGGCCUCUGGUACCAAGCCCUCCGCGGGGGCCUCAGACCACUUCCUGGGCCGCCGGGGCAGCCCGCUGCUGAGCUGGUCCACGGUGGCGCAGACCAAGCGGAAGGCGGUGGCCACGGCCGCAGCAGGUGGCAAGGGGCCGGGCGUGCUGCAGAACCUCUUCCAACUCAACGGCAGCGCCAGGAAGCUGCGGGCCCGCGAGGCGCUCUUCCCCGUCCACAGCGUGGCUGCUCCCGUGUUUGGCAACGGCUUCCGCGCCGACUCCUUCAGCAGCCUGGCCAGCUCCUACGCUCCCUUUGUCGGUGGGGCCGGGCCCGGCCUGCCCGGGGGUGCCCACAAGCUGCUGCGGGCCAAGAAGGCCGAGCGGGCGGAGGCCGAGAAGGGCGGGCGGCGGCGGGCGGGCGGCGAGUUCCUGGUCAAGCUGGACCAUGAGGGCGUGACCUCCCCCAAGAGCAAGAACUGCAAGGCGCUGCACGCGGGUGACAAGGAUGUGGGGCCCAGGCCAGGGAGGCCCCUGCCCGGCCCCAGCUAUGGGCACCCAGCCCUUGUGGGCAAGGACAGGAAGGGGCGGUCGCCUGUCCACCCGCUGCCCAUGGGGCUGGCGCUGCGCAAGUUUGCAGGCCAGGCCGAGUACCCGCUGCCCUGCGACAGUGACUGCCACAGCUCCUACUCGGACGAGGAGGAGGACGGGCCUGGCCUGGCCCCCGGCGUGCCCUCCCGCUUCCUCGCCCGCCUUUCUGUGUCCUCCUCCUCCUCGGGCUCAUCCACCUCCUCCUCCUCUGGCUCCCUGUCCACCUCCAGCCUCUGCUCCUCGGAUGACGAGGGCUCCUCCUACAGCUCAGACGAGGAGGACCCAGCCCUGCUGCUGCAGACCUGCCUCACCCACCCGGUGCCCGCCCUCCUGGCCCAGCCCGAGGCCCUGCGCUCCAAGGGGGCUGGCCCACACCCGCACGCCCAGCGCUGCUUCCUGUCCAGGGCCGCGGUGGCCGGUGGGGGCGUGGGCGCGGGCCCCAGCAGUGGCAGACCCAGGCUCAAGCGCAAGGAGGCCCUGAGCUUCUCCAAAGCCAAAGAGCUGUCCCGGAGGCAGCGGCUGCCCUCCGUGGAAAACCGGCCAAAGAUCUCAGCCUUCCUGCCUGCCCGGCAGCUCUGGAAGUGGUCGGGGAACCCCACACAGAGACGCGGCAUGAAGGGGAAGGCCAGGAAGCUGUUCUACAAGGCCAUCGUCCGGGGCAAGGAGACGCUUCGCAUCGGGGACUGUGCCGUCUUCCUGUCAGCUGGGCGGCCCAACCUGCCCUACAUCGGCCGCAUUGAGAGCAUGUGGGAGUCGUGGGGCAGCAACAUGGUGGUGAAGGUCAAGUGGUUCUACCACCCAGAGGAGACCAAGCUGGGGAAGCGGCAGAGCGACGGGAAGCAGAACGCGCUGUACCAGUCCUGCCACGAGGAUGAGAACGACGUGCAGACCAUCUCCCACAAGUGCCAGGUAGUGGGGCGCGAGCAGUAUGAGCAGAUGACACGGAGCCGCAAGUGCCAGGACCGGCGGGACCUCUACUACCUGGCGGGCACCUACGACCCCACCACCGGGCGCCUGGUGACGGCCGAUGGUGUGCCCAUCCUGUGCUGAGCCUGCACAGACCGGCUGCAGGUGACCCACCUGCCCCGCCAUGCCCAGUGCCAGAGCCACAGGGACGUGAGGACAUGAGGACCCAGCCCCAUGCCUCCGAGCGGGAGGCUGGCCCACACCUCGGAGGGGCAGGUCUGAGCAAAUAUGCAAACCCACCAAGGCAAGAUCCAGGCUUUUUUAUUAUUUUCCCUGGAAGGAGAGAGAGCUUUUGGGCAUCAGAACCCAGUUCAUCCGUCUGCUGCGGAGGGUCAGCUGUGCCCCGACUGGGACCUACCGGCCCUCUCUGUUUUCCCACAUCGGCAGUUCACGAGAGAUUAGAAUCCAAGCCAUAUUUUCCCUAGUACCUCCGACUGUCUCCCACCAGGGAAAGCAGAAAUCAGUUAUUUCUGAUUUCCGUCUCAAUGGCCAGCUUGUCCAGCCUUCACUCAGAGCAAGGAAGGAACUUGCCCCCGCCAGCUCAUGUGGAGGUUUCUGGGACUUUUCUGCGGCCACUUGGCAGGGCCGCUGGCCUGGCAGGGUAGUGCUUGGGGCACAGAGCAGGGUUCCGUCCUGCCUACAACCCAGCCUCAGGUGCACGGAGCAGCCCUCUGCCCAGCGCCCUGGCUACCGUUGUGCCGUGUGGGUGUCCCAGACCCUCAGCACCACCCCCGUAACCCUGGAGAACUCAUCACACCUCCACUUCUCCUGAGGCCAAGAGGGACAAGCAGGGCAAGCCAGACCCGUGGCCCAGCAGCCCUUGUCCCCGAAAAUACGCACUGAGGGCCACGUGCUCCCAUGUCUCACCAUGCUAAGUCUCCCCUGGCCACAAUGGGAGCCCCAGGAAGGCCUCCCAAGUUAGCCACUGCUCCUUAGGACGGGCUCUUGUGUGACCCACAGGCACAGGCCAGGUACCUGGGAAAUAAGGGAUGUCAGUGGGUGCCCGGGCCCCUUUUUCUUUCCAACCAGGAAAUCACCCCUCCCCCGCUCCUGGUGGCUCCACGGGAAGUAUAGGGACAUGGAGGGAUUCCCCUGCACCGCAGCUUUCUUCUCCCACCCCAACUCUCCACUUUGUCUCGGCUCGAGUGCAAUAUUUCAUUCUGGUAGUCGUCCUGGAGAGGCGGCUGAGGUCCUGCUGGCGGCUGGGGAAGUGGCAAGAUGCUGUGGGGCGACGCGGCCAGUGCCAAGGCAUGUGUGGGGAAGCCCCAACCACAGAAAUUAGAACCUGAGGCUACUUCCAACCCCAAGCACCGAGGCAGGAGCGAACGAACAGGCAGCCUUUUCUUGGCCUCCCGCCCUCCCAUUGGUUCUUCUCCCUAGUCCAUGGACUUUUGUCCUUUGCUUUUCUCUUCCCAUCCCCCUCUGUCCGUGUGCUUGCGGACAGCGCGGCCCUUCCCACCAUGGUUAAACCUGGCAAAAGCACGACUCUUGUAAAUGUGUAAACUAAGAGGAUGGUUGAAUUUUUUUUUCAAUGUAAACACUAAAAACAAACAAAAAAAAUACAAAGGUUUUAUGAACAGCAAACUCUAUGUAAAGGCAUUUUAGUAUUAAAUUUUUUAUUGAUAACUUGCUUAAGAAUAAAUAUAUGAACUAUU